This 2559-nucleotide long non-coding RNA is filed under the name Mytilus galloprovincialis (Mediterranean mussel). Lineage: Eukaryota; Metazoa; Mollusca; Bivalvia; Mytilida; Mytilidae. The record is from RNAcentral.
UUUAUGUGGUAAAGAAUAUCUUUCGAAAGAGGUAGGUUUUUUUAGUGUUUCAGUAUAGGAUAUUAUACAUUGCACUUAAAUUGUGUUAAUCUUUAACAGUUAAACAACUACACAAAAGCGAUCAUCGCAAUAAUAAGCAAAACUCGAAGAUUCUUAAAUAUAUUUUAAAACAUAUGAAACGACUUUUUUUUAUAACGAAAUAGCCAUUUGUUAACUACUGCAGUUUAUGAUUAUGUUUAACAAAAACUAAACAUAUGUCCAGUCUGUUACAAGGUCUAUCUAUACGAUAAAAAAAGAUAAGGACAACAAUUGCGUCACUUUAGUCAGAUACUAGAUAGCAAAAAUGAACAGCGUAUAUUCAUUAUAAGGCCAUUUCAAUUGAUAUUUUAUAGUGUGUCUUUCUAUGAUGUGAAGUUAUACAAUUGUUUCAGGUAAGGUUGAAGAUUGGUAUCUUUUAAAAGGUUUAAACUCGCUGCAUUUGUUUUCACCUGUCUUAUUAAGUCAGGAACCUGAUGUUCAGUUGUUGUCGUUUGUUGAUGUGGUUCAUAAAUGUUUUUCGUUUUUUAUAUAUAUUAGACCGUUGGUUUUUCCGUUUGAAUGGUUUUACGCUAGUCGGUUUUUUUGGGGCCCUUAAUAUAGCUUGCUGUUUGGUGUGAGCCAAAUUGAAUGCUCCGUGUUGAAGACCGUACUUCAAGUUGACCUAUAACGGUUUACUUUUACAAAUUAUGACUUGCAUUGAGAGUUGUCUCAUUGACACUCACGCCACAUCUUCUUAUAUCAGUGAAUUUAAAAUAUGUUCUAAAAUGCAGCAGCUUGUUCCAUUCUUUAGUGUUUCGUCUAACUGUAGAGUUUGAUUUCAGUUUUGAUGUUGUACCGUCUUUGUCUGUAAACACUUUAGAAAAUCUUACUCUGUCACUUUCACCAUGAACUGUCAAAAAUAUUCUUGUCAUUUUAUUUAUUUUCUUUUGUUACAUCUUUUGACAUCAGACUCGGACUUCUCUUGAACUGAAUUUUAAUGUGCGUAUUGUUAUUGUUUUACUUUUCUACAUUGGCUAGAGGUAUAGGGGGAGGGUUGAGAUCUCAUAAACAUGUUUAACCCCGCCGCAAUUUUGCGCCUGUCCCAAGUCAGGAGCCUCUGGCCUUUGUUAGUCUUGUAUGAUUUUAAAUUUUAGUUUCUUGUGUAUAAUUCGGAGUUUAGUAUGACGUCCAUUAUCACUGUACUAUUAUGCAUAUUUUAGGGGCCAGCUGAAGGACACCUACGGGUGCGGGAAUUCUUGCUACAUUGAAGACCCAUUGGUUGCCUUCGGCUGUUGUUUGCUCUAUGGUCGGGUGGUUGUCGCUUUGACAUAUUCACCAUUUCCUUUCUCAAUUUUAUUAAUUGUAAGCAUGUAUUUUGUAUUAUACUCAUAUAAUAAGUAAAGGUGAUAGUCUCUCCGUUCUAAACAAAUCAUAUGAAAUUUUAAACAAAUAAUAUGAAAUUCUAAACAAUAAUAUGAAAUUCUGAACAAAUCAUAGAAUCAUAUUCAAAACAGUGUGGCUGUGGCCAUUGAUUGACGACCUAAAUUGUCCCAUUGACUGGGACAUAUUAGGUGAACGUUUGUCUGUAACGACCACUGCUCACUGCUUACUUAUUAUAGAAUUUUAACUGUGGGGUCUCCAAAGGUUCUUAACGCCUUUAAUAUUAAAAUAAUUCGAAAAAAUAAUCAGGAAUAACUUUAUGUUUUGAUUUAUAUUAUUGAUAUAAAUCAAAACAUCGUGUUAUUACUGAUUAUUUUUUCUAAUUACUUUAUUUAGGUGUUGAGAACCUUUUGUGACCCCAUCAGUUUAAGUGUCGAACGUUCACCUAAUAUGUCCCAGUCAAUGGGAUAAUUUAGGUCGUCAAUCAAUGACCACAGCCACACUGUUUUGAAUAUGAUUCUAUAUGAAACUAAUAGGAGUGGAUACACCAAUUAUCGGGUGCCUCUUUUGACACGCAACAGUUAAAACAAUAGUCAAAAUUUUGUCUGUAUAUGUAAAAAGUUACUUCUGCUUAUUUGUCUGUACAAGUAUAUACAAAAGAUAUAAGUGUGUGUAUUUCCGUUUUUAGCAAGUUACUACUUCACUAUCUAGAAGCAACAUUCGACUAUCAUAGUAGACUAUGAAUGCAUUUUUUUUUUUUGGUUUGCCAGAAGUAUGUGGUUCUGUUAUAGCACACUAGCUUCCUCCGCUUAUAAAAUGCCUAUCAUAAUAUUGCCUAGCGAGCGUUUAAUUCAUAAAUAAGUUAAUCUCUUGUGUACAAUAUAUCUGUUGUAUAACCUCUUUAAAGUCGUACUUACAUGUAUAUAUUAUAUCUGUCUACAUGCAUUCUUUAUGAAUGUUAUUACUUUUCAGCUUAAAUAUGAAAGUCGCCAUAAUCAUCGUCUGUCUGGUUAUUUUGAACAUGUGUGAAGACACAACAUGCGCUACUGACCAAUGUACCUUAGACUGCAUACUUGGUACCAGUACCUGUAUUGGUGGUUGUGCUGGACAAGACAUAUGUCAGAUGCUGUCUUGUCAUUCAAACUGCAAAACUCAAUGCAU